This 647-nucleotide small RNA is filed under the name Pongo abelii (Sumatran orangutan). Its description in RNAcentral is "processed transcript". The record is from RNAcentral. Lineage: Eukaryota; Metazoa; Chordata; Mammalia; Primates; Hominidae.
AAAUGGAAACAGAGAGAUUCUCCUGGAAACCCCUGCCCCAUAAACGGCCCUCUAGAACACAGUGGGACGGAAUCCACCCACAACGCGCUUGGUUUGCAGAUGUCAAAGAAUCUGCAGAGGGUGCUACUGAAGAUCCAGCCUCAGCCAAUCACCACCUCAUUGGGUGAAAGUUCCAGGGCUCAAUCCAGGACCACACUCUUAUUGGCCAGGCAAUAAGGGGCUCCCACAGAGCUUUGAGUAACUUCUUGGUUGUGCAGUCUGCAGGCAAUGUUGGCAUUGUAAAUUCCUCCCUUGCAGCCUCCUUCAUGUGGUGAGGGGAUCACUUCAGCUGCCUGCUGUGGACAAAGAACAUCAAAUUACAGCAUCACGAGUGCUAUUGUUGCCUGUGGUGGUCUCCCUGUCCAAGCGGGACCGCUUUGCAGAGACCAGACGCAUAUCGCAGCUUGAGCUGAAAAUGCAUUUGUUGCAGCUUAGGUUGAAUUAUUUUUCGUUUACUCUUUCUUCUACACGCGCCUGAUGGAUAGUGAACCUAUUCAUCAAAAAGGUGCACUGCUCUUCUGUCUAUUGUACCGACUUAACCUCUUCCACCCAAGUCCGCAUCUGUGUGUAUCAUCAAUAAAGUUGUGUGCUUUGAUUGGCAGAAAAGA